AGUGAACGCUGGCGGCAGGCCUAACACAUGCAAGUCGAGCGGCAGCGCGGGGGCAACCCUGGCGGCGAGCGGCGGACGGGUGAGGAAUUCGUCGGAAUCUGCCUUUUUGUGGGGGAUAACGUAGGAAAACUUACGCUAAUACCGCAUACGUCCUACGGGAGAAAGUGGGGGACCGCAAGGCCUCACGCAGAAAGAUGAGCCGACGACCGAUUAGCUAGUUGGUGGGGUAAAGGCCCACCAAGGCGACGAUCGGUAGCUGGUCUGAGAGGAUGAUCAGCCACACUGGGACUGAGACACGGCCCAGACUCCUACGGGAGGCAGCAGUGGGGAAUAUUGGACAAUGGGCGCAAGCCUGAUCCAGCCAUGCCGCGUGUGUGAAGAAGGCCUUCGGGUUGUAAAGCACUUUUGUCCGGAAAGAAAUCCCUGGAGCUAAUACCUUCGGGGGAUGACGGUACCGGAAGAAUAAGCACCGGCUAACUUCGUG
Molecule: ribosomal RNA, 484 nt
Filed under: uncultured bacterium
Lineage: Bacteria
Description: partial 16S ribosomal RNA
Rfam family: Bacterial small subunit ribosomal RNA
Source: RNAcentral